This 373-nucleotide ribosomal RNA is filed under the name uncultured eukaryote. RNAcentral describes it as "partial 18S ribosomal RNA". It matches the Rfam family "Eukaryotic small subunit ribosomal RNA", at positions 592 to 976 of the family's 1831-position model. The record is from RNAcentral.
CAAUAGCGUAUAUUAAAGUUGUUGCAGUUAAAAAGCUCGUAGUUGGAUUUCGGUUGAGAACGGCCGGUCCGCCGUUUGGUGUGCACUGGCUGGUUUCAACUUCCUGUAGAGGACGCGCUCUGGCUUCACGGCUGGACGCGGAGUCUACGUGGUUACUUUGAAAAAAUUAGAGUGUUCAAAGCGGGCUUACGCUUGAAUAUUUCAGCAUGGAAUAACACUAUAGGACUCCUGUCCUAUUUCGUUGGUCUCGGGACGGGAGUAAUGAUUAAGAGGAACAGUUGGGGGCAUUCGUAUUUCAUUGUCAGAGGUGAAAUUCUUGGAUUUAUGAAAGACGAACUUCUGCGAAAGCAUUUGCCAAGGAUGUUUUCAUUAA